This 497-nucleotide ribosomal RNA is filed under the name uncultured bacterium. RNAcentral describes it as "partial 16S ribosomal RNA". It matches the Rfam family "Bacterial small subunit ribosomal RNA", at positions 28 to 507 of the family's 1533-position model. The record is from RNAcentral.
GAUGAACGCUGGCGGCGUGCCUAAUACAUGCAAGUCGAGCGAACGGACGAGAAGCUUGCUUCUCUGAUGUUAGCGGCGGACGGGUGAGUAACACGUGGAUAACCUACCUAUAAGACUGGGAUAACUUCGGGAAACCGGAGCUAAUACCGGAUAAUAUUUUGAACCGCAUGGUUCAAAAGUGAAAGACGGUCUUGCUGUCACUUAUAGAUGGAUCCGCGCUGCAUUAGCUAGUUGGUAAGGUAACGGCUUACCAAGGCAACGAUGCAUAGCCGACCUGCGAGGGUGAUCGGCCACACUGGAGCUGGGACACGGUCCAGAGUCCUACGGGAGGCAGCAGUAGGGAAUCUUCCGCAAUGGGCGAAAGCCUGACGGAGCAGCGCCGCGUGAGUGAUGAAGGUCUUCGGAUCGUAAAACUCUGUUAUUAGGGAAGAACAUAUGUGUAAGUAACUGUGCACAUCUUGACGGUACCUAAUCAGAAAGCCACGGCUAACUACGUG